Molecule: ribosomal RNA, 711 nt
Filed under: uncultured Pseudomonadota bacterium
Lineage: Bacteria; Pseudomonadati; Pseudomonadota
Description: bacterial SSU rRNA
Rfam family: Bacterial small subunit ribosomal RNA
Source: RNAcentral
UUAGAGUUUGAUCCUGGCUCAGAACGAACGCUGGCGGCAGGCUUAACACAUGCAAGUCGAGCGCUCUCUUCGGAGGGAGCGGCGGACGGGUGAGUAACGCGUGGGAAUAUGCCCUGGGUGCGGAACAACCGCUGGAAACGGCGGCUAAUACCGCAUGACGACUAUGGUCCAAAGAUUUAUCGCCCAAGGAUUGGCCCGCGUUGGAUUAGGUAGUUGGUGAGGUCAAAGCUCACCAAGCCGACGAUCCAUAGCUGGUUUGAGAGGAUGAUCAGCCACACUGGGACUGAGACACGGCCCAGACUCCUACGGGAGGCAGCAGUGGGGAAUCUUGGACAAUGGGGGAAACCCUGAUCCAGCCAUGCCGCGUGAGCGAUGACGGCCUUAGGGUUGUAAAGCUCUUUCACCGGUGACGAUAAUGACGGUAGCCGGAGAAGAAGCCCCGGCUAACUCCGUGCCAGCAGCCGCGGUAAUACGGAGGGGGCUAGCGUUGUUCGGAAUUACUGGGCGUAAGGCGCGCGUAGGCGGACUGUUAAGUCGGGGGUGAAAUCCCGGGGCUCAACCCCGGAACUGCCUCCGAUACUGGCGGUCUAGAGUCCGUGAGAGGUUGGUGGAAUGGCGAGUGUAGAGGUGAAAUUCGUAGAUAUUCGCCGGAACACCAGUGGCGAAGGCGGCCAACUGGCACGGUACUGACGCUGAGGGUGCGAAGUGUGG